Molecule: long non-coding RNA, 1893 nt
Filed under: Panax ginseng (ginseng)
Lineage: Eukaryota; Viridiplantae; Streptophyta; Magnoliopsida; Apiales; Araliaceae
Description: long non-coding RNA (PGIN_LNC009010)
Source: RNAcentral
AAGUUUUCUAUUUUGGAUUCUCAGAAAGUUUUCAAGUUCAUGCUUUGCUUACUAAAUUUUGUUUCUUUUUGGAAAUGGAAAUCCUUGAAAGUUUGUUUCAAGAUUCAUAUUUCUUAAUUUUUUAUUUAAUUCAAAUUAAAAAUCAUUCAAUUUGGGCUUCUGAAUCAUUUCAAGUUCAAGUCAUAAUUUUAUUGUAAAUCUUCACCUCACCCGAGAUCAAGCUUUAUUCGAUGCUUUAGUGCUUGAGCAUUCUUCCCUUCAGAGGGGAGAUUUUUGCCUUUAAAGAUAGGUCAGAGGAUGAUGAAGAGAUCCUGCAAUACCUCUUGGUACUGGCCAUGAGAAACUCAUUUAUUGAAAGAUGUGUAACAUUUUACGGAGAGUACAUUUAUUUUUUGUGUUAAUUUUCAUAUUAUUUGGAUCUAUAUACGAACACUUGGGACCUUAUGACCACUUCAAUAUUUUUUUAAAGAAACUAUAAAUUUUGCGCGCUUGACUGUAGAAACCUCGUGUGGCAAUCCUGUUGAAAUCUUUGGUUCUGUUUGACAUGGCUCAAUAAAUUGUUUACAGGAUGAUUCCCCAUAAGACUAAGCGUGGUGUAGCUGCACUUGCUCGGUGAAAGGUUUAUGAAGGAAUCCCACCUUCAUAUGACAACAUUAAGAGGAUGGUCAUCCCUGAUGCUCUCAAGUUAGUUCUUUUAUGACCAGUAAUAUGUCUGUUCCGCUCAUCUUUCAUAUAGUUGUGGUUUGCUAAAAAAGUUAUCUUUUGAAAAUCAGGGUUCUGAGGCUUGGAUGUUGGAUGGAACUAUUAUGAUACUAUCAAGGUGAGAUUUAAAUACCUAAUUAUUAUGUGCUUAUGACAAAAAGGCUUUUUCUAGGCUUCUUGUAUGUUUUACUUUUGAAUAAUGCAAUAAAUUCUGUUUUUGCAUCUGAUUUGAUCAAUGAUAGUAUUUGUGAUAUGUUAUUUUUUGUGUUAUAGCCAACGCUUUCAUACAUGAUAUCUCCCGAAUGUUUUUCCUUUUGCUUUUUAUUCAUGAACUUUAUGAGUUUGUGCCAUUAUACUUCAAAAUGAGUAGUACUGUGUUGGUGACCAUUGGCUGAUGUUGGUGACCAAUUAGUCACUCAUAACUUGAUGCAGGGAAAUUUGAAGUGGACAAUGAUUUGUUUGAUUUUGGAUCUGUUGUUUCAUGGUUAGCUGAGAAUUGAUGGGUUUUACUGGUACGAAAAAUGUAUAUAGAUAUAGAGGUGUUUAGAUUUGUAAAUAUGUCUGCAUUUUGGUAAUACAAUGAUAUAUUUGCGUGCUUAUUAAGAUAAUUCAUUUCUUAUUAGUAGUAAUUCUCUCUCUAAUUGAAGUUGGUUGUUUUUAAAAAAAAAAACUCUCCCUUACCCAUCAUUCCUUUUCUUAUUGUUUCUUGAAAAAGUUUUCUAUUUUGGAUUCUCAGAAAGUUUUCAAGUUCAUGCUUUGCUUACUAAAUUUUGUUUCUUUUUGGAAAUGGAAAUCCUUGAAAGUUUGUUUCAAGAUUCAUAUUUCUUAAUUUUUUAUUUAAUUCAAAUUAAAAAUCAUUCAAUUUGGGCUUCUGAAUCAUUUCAAGUUCAAGUCAUAAUUUUAUUGUAAAUCUUCACCUCACCCGAGAUCAAACUUUAUUCGAUGCUUUAGUGCUUGAGCAUUCUUCCCUUCAGAGGGGAGAUUUUUGCCUUUAAAGAUAGGUCAGGGGAUGAUGAAGAGAUCCUGCAAUACCUCUUGGUACUGGCCAUGAGAAACUCAUUUAUUGAAAGAUGUGUAACAUUUUACGGAGAGUACAUUUAUUUUUUGUGUCAAUUUUCAUAUUAUUUGGAUCUAUAUCCGAACACUUGGGACCUUAUGACCACUUCAAUAUUUUUUUUAAAGAAAUUAUAA